CUAGUAUCUGAGGGAAACAUGCCUAAAAUCAUAACGUUGGAAAUAGGUUCUACUUGUUGCCCUUCUCAAGGAGAAAAUUGGAGUUGGAGGUUUAUUCCAAAUUAGGGAGAGUUCCUCUGGUGAGAGAAAAUAUAAUGAAUUUUGUCUGGAAAACAGAAAUCUCUUAAGUGAGAGAGAGGCAGUUGAUUUGUUUACUGUUGUUACAUCUGUUUCUCUGAAGGGGCAGGAAGGUUUAUAGCUUUUUAUUUAAUCAUCUUGCUGAUGUUAUACACUCUACAUGAAUUUAUAUAUUUUAUAUCAUUCUUAUAAAUUAUCAGUUUAUAUUAAUUUAAUUUGAGCUUUGGUUCUUUGUUCUAAAGGUUAAAAUAUUUAUUUAAAAUUAUGGAUAACAGUUUAUCAACUGUGCAACAUAUUGCAAAUGUCUUAUCAUAGUCUGUAAUAUAGUUUGGCUCUGUCCCCACCCAAACCUCAUCUUGAAUUAUAACUCCCACAAUUUCCACAUUUUGUGGGAGGAACCUGGUGGGAAGUAAUUGAAUCAUGGGGGCAGGUCUUUCCCAUGCUGUUCUCAUGAUAGUGAAUAAGUCUCAUGAGGUAUGGUGCUUUUAAAAACGGGAGUUUCCCUGCACAAACUCUCUCUCUCUUUGCCUGCUGCCAUCCAUGUAGACGUGACUUGCUCCUCCUUGCCUUCAGCCAUGAUUGUGAGACCUUGCCAGCCACUUGGAACAGUGGUGCCUUGACAUUAUUGGUUCACCAACAGAGCAGAACUGCCUCAGCCAUCAAUAAUAAUUCAACGCAUCAGGAUGAGGCCUACGCAUGGGCCACAGAGGAUAUGUAAUGACUUAAGAUACCAACUCCACAUUCUGUGGUAAGAGAUGAAGAUCCAGGAAAUGUAUGGACACCUAUAGCCUGAAGAAUAUUGUCAGAAAAAAACACUGGGAUCUGGAAGCGAAAAGGAAACAUAGAAAACGAGACAGGAAGGUGAAGAAAGUUGAAGAUAAACUUUCUUUUUCACAAUGUUUUUAUGGACAAGUUCAGCCCAUAAAUCAAAAAUUACCUUUAUGGAUGAAAUAUUAGUUAAGUCAAGAUCAUCUUUUUCAUUUCCUACAUGCAGGUUGAAUCUCAUUUAUGGAGUGAGAUGUCAAAUAACAACAAAAAAUGCACUUAAUUUGCAUAAAGAUGCUUGUAAGGUAACAUUGCUCCACACUUUGCUUUAUUCACAUCAUUAGAGGAAAUAUCUUAUUCCUCUAGCUGUUUCUGGCCAUGGCUCAAGGAAUUAAAAACUUCCAUUCAUUCCUUCAGACAGUACAGUUAACAAGAGGAUAACUUUUUUUAUUAUCUCUGUCCUUCUCCCUCAGGAAGCAGAGAAUUAUCAGAUUGGUGAGAGAAAGGAAAUAAAGGUCUGAACAUGUGUCUCAAGUCACCUCUUUUGGGAGCACUCUGUUCUCAGUUUAUUUUAAUUCUGUUUCUCAAUUUAAUGAGUUUACUAGAGCAGGGUCCACUAUUACCCUGUGGAGAUCCUUAAUGAUACAUGGAUAUGUUUAAUUCUGGGAAUAAAGUAGUUAAACUGGCUAGUGAUUAUGCCACAUUGUUAGAGUCAUCUUUGUCAAUAAGAAAGUUGUUCAUAUUUAUGACAUCUGUAUCCAUUUCUUCAGAAGUGUGACUAUUAUUCAUAUAUCCCCAAUACACACAAAAUAUAUAGUUUUAACUAAAUUUUUAAUCUGUUACAUAUUUUUCUAGGUUACUAGCUAGAGACAUCCUGGUUGUUUCCAAUUUGUUGUAAACUGGAAAUUUGAUGCUAAACAAGUAGUGUUAUGACAAGCCUUCUUAUUCAUAACUUGACAUGCUUUUGCCAGUAUAUUUUAGAUGAAAUUUUGAGAUUAUGGUGGAGUCAAAUCAUAUGAACACUUUAAAUUUUGCUCCGUUAUUACCACAUUCCUGUGCAAAAGUGACACCAAUUUACAAUGCCAUAUUGUAUAGACGUGUUUCAUGGUACCUUAAAACAAUUACAAUGUUAAUAACAAAGAUAAGUAAUCACAGAGCACUAUGUCAGAUAUAAUACUAAUUUAAAAAGUUUGAAAUAUAAUGACAAUUAACAAAAUGUGACUAGGAGGCUCAAAGUGAGCACAUGCUGUUGGUAAAAUGAUGCUAACAGACUUGCUUAAUGUAGGGUUGCCACAAACAGAAGUAAAAAGUGCUUAUUUGCCGACAACCUUGCCAAAUAUUGACUCUAUAAAAUGGUUUAAAAUUAUUUAUAUUACAGAUACUUUGCUUUGCUAUUUCUAAUUCUCUUAUUUUGUAAACAGUGUUAUUUUAGCCACAUAUGUAUUUCUUUCGCUCUGGAUUUCUCAUUUCAUUUUAAUUUUGUGUGUAUGUCCUUGAUGGAUUCUUUGAAUUUUUGUUUUCAUUGCAUCUUUCUGUAUAAUUAUUCCUGGGAUAUUGUGUCAUUUUUAAAAAUUGCAUUUCGUAGGAUGGAUUCCUAAUACUUUCUUUGCAUGUGCUUUUAUGUUAUUUUAUUUCCUUGUCUUAUUACUAAAAAGUGAUUUUAUACUUGCCAUGAUUUUCAGGUUUCCCAGCUUAAGAUGGACAGUUCUUACACUUUGAUGUAGCAUGGGCAAAUUUGUCUCUACUUUUUCACAUCAAGCUAUAGUUUAAGCAUUGAGUUUUGAAAUGUGCCCACUUUUUCCCUAGCCUGAGUGUGUAGAGAAUAAGCAGAUGAGCUCAAUUGGUGUGCAAUUUAGGUAAAAGACCUGGACUCUUUCUCUUGCCUAAAAUUUUAUUAAGUAUCUAAUCCCAUAGCUUGCUCUCUUUCCAGGAGGCAGUUUUACUGCCGCCAGGGAAAUAGCCUUGCUUUCAAAUCUCUUCCUUAAUUCAGCGCAGAGCCACCAAGGCUUUGCUUGUAUCAAUGAGCCAUCUCAUGUACCUUCAUCCCCCAUUUCACCAGUCUUUUCCUGGCACUUUCUCCCUCUAUUCCUCACUCUAAGACUGAGUGGGGAAUCAAUAUUUGGCUGUAAAGGAGUAUAUGGUGUCUUACCUUGUGUGCUGAAACAAUGUAUUUACUCAAAGUGUUAUGGAUUUUCUUUUUUCUCUACAUUAUGCCAAGACAUAAAUUCUGAGAGUGUUUAUGAUGGUGCCUCUUUUCCCCUCUGCUUUCUUUCCAAGUUAGAGACAUCAAAAUAAUAAGCCUUAACCAUUUUCCUGUUUUUAAAAGAAAUAGUUAAUUUUUAUGGGAAUUAUUAGGUGUCUCCCGGGCUACUCAUGUAAAUCCUCAUUUUAUCUGUUUUUAAAUUGAGUUAUUCAUGAGAUGCUUUCUGCAUUUUGUUUUUUAGGAAAUUUUAGGAAACAAAGAUAAAUGUCAUAUGGUCUUUCAAAUGUCAUAUGGUCUCUCAAAUAUCAUAUGGUCUCACAUCCCCUCCAAACUAUUUUAAAUAUGGCCUGACUUUGGGAAUGAAGGCUUUACUUGGACAUGGAUAUGACUGUAGGCAUUUUCCUUUAUAUUCCUUUAUAACUUACUGUUAUGCAUCUACUAGCAGCUGUUAAGGUCACUCCAAAACUGACAUUCUCUCCCCAUGUUUGCUUCCACUAAAACCCAUCUGGUGAUGGAACUGUGCAUACCUUCAUCAAGUAUUUUGAAAACAAAACAAAACAAAAUAAGCAAAAACAAAGUAAACAAAAGACAGAUAUCUGAAUCAGACAGAAUUAGUUUUGGAUCCCAGUCUGUCACCAGUUACUUGUUUAAAAUGGAGCAGGUUACUUAACAACUCUGAGAAAUAUUUACUUAAAACACUCAAGUAUAAUAUGUAUUUUGCAGACAUUUUGUGAUAAGUAAAUGAGGUAUGUGUGCAUGUGUGGGCUUGUGUAUAAAAUAAACUCUCUUGAUUGGCCUAUAUAACUGUCUUUUUCAUUCAGGAUGAAUGGUGGGUAACUUUUUUACUCACUCAAGCUACAUCGUAUUCUAUUCAGAUUAAUCUAAUUUCUUAUCUGAAAUAGUUAAAAUAUGUGAUAUACUUUGACAAAUAUCAAGGUAAUAAACAUUUGAAAAAGGACACAUUUUUCUCUUCCUUAUUUCCUUAAGCCAAUUCAUUCUUCUACUAUAUUUUAUUUUACAUAAACGUUACUUUAAUUUUAUAUAUGCACUAUGCAAUCUAAAAAGUACAAUUGCCUGUGAUGUCCAUAUACUUUACCUUUCUUAAGAGAGGUACAUUCGUUUAAUUUAUUCUUAUAAUCUAGUUGAUAUGAGUAAAUCUUUUAAAUAACUAGGGGCGAAUUUUGCUCCAAUCCACCUAUAUGAAAAUAUUUAUCAUUUUUAAAAAGGCAAUUCUCUCAGCUUAGACAAAAUAAAACCCAUCUUUACAAAAGAUACAAAAAAAAAUUCGUUGGAUGUGGUGGCAUGUGCCUGUGGUCCCAGCUACUCAGAAGGCUGAGUGGAGACGAGAAGAUCACUUGCACCCACAUGGGUUGAGGCUCCAGUGAGCCAAAUUCUUGCCUCUGCACUACAGCCUGGGUGACAGUGAGAUCUGCAGAAAGAUGAGAUGCUCUUCCAAGCAAGUAAUAGAUCUUUGGGUUGCAGAUAUUGGCAGAACAUUGGCAUAUUCUGGGACCUCAAGCAUUUGAUACCCAAGAAAAUAUAAUUUUAAUGUAUGCUUUCUAAUGUCUCUGCGGAUAUCACCAUGAGGUGCUAACUUUUUAUAUCAGAUAUUAUAACUUUAUUAUUGUAUUAUACCAAGUUGACAUUAUUGCUAUAUUUUCUUUUAUUGAUUUCAAUACUAUAAUUAUAUGUUUGCAUCCAGUAAGAAUAAAUAUGGGA
Molecule: long non-coding RNA, 4804 nt
Filed under: Homo sapiens (human)
Lineage: Eukaryota; Metazoa; Chordata; Mammalia; Primates; Hominidae
Description: HSALNT0208800
Source: RNAcentral